This 253-nucleotide ribosomal RNA is filed under the name uncultured bacterium. RNAcentral describes it as "partial 16S ribosomal RNA". It matches the Rfam family "Bacterial small subunit ribosomal RNA", at positions 524 to 776 of the family's 1533-position model. The record is from RNAcentral.
UACGUAGGGUGCAAGCGUUGCCCGGAUUUAUUGGGCGUAAAGGGCGCGUAGGCGGCUCGGCACGUCCGUUGUGAAAUCGCCCGGCUCAACUGGGCGGGGUCAGCGGAUACGGCCGAGCUUGAGCAAGCUAGGGGGCAAUGGAAUUCCCGGUGUAGUGGUGGAAUGCGUAGAUAUCGGGAGGAACAUCAGUGGCGAAGGCGGCCUGUUGGGCUGUUGCUGACGCUGAGGCGCGACAGCGUGGGGAGCAAACAGG